CCUACGGGUGGCAGCAGUGGGGAAUAUUGCACAAUGGGCGCAAGCCUGAUGCAGCCAUGCCGCGUGUGUGAAGAAGGCCUUCGGGUUGUAAAGCACUUUCAGCGGGGAGGAAGGCGGUGAGGUUAAUAACCUCAUCGAUUGACGUUACCCGCAGAAGAAGCACCGGCUAACUCCGUGCCGGCAGCCGCGGUAAUACGGAGGGUGCAAGCGUUAAUCGGAAUUACUGGGCGUAAAGCGCACGCAGGCGGUCUGUCAAGUCGGAUGUGAAAUCCCCGGGCUCAACCUGGGAACUGCAUUCGAAACUGGCAGGCUAGAGUCUUGUAGAGGGGGGUAGAAUUCCAGGUGUAGCGGUGAAAUGCGUAGAGAUCUGGAGGAAUACCGGUGGCGAAGGCGGCCCCCUGGACAAAGACUGACGCUCAGGUGCGAAAGCGUGGGGAGCAAACAGGAUUAGAUACCCGAGUAGUC
This 465-nucleotide ribosomal RNA is filed under the name uncultured Klebsiella sp. RNAcentral's name for it is "bacterial SSU rRNA". It matches the Rfam family "Bacterial small subunit ribosomal RNA", at positions 338 to 795 of the family's 1533-position model. Lineage: Bacteria; Pseudomonadati; Pseudomonadota; Gammaproteobacteria; Enterobacterales; Enterobacteriaceae. The record is from RNAcentral.